Molecule: ribosomal RNA, 253 nt
Filed under: uncultured bacterium
Lineage: Bacteria
Description: partial 16S ribosomal RNA
Rfam family: Bacterial small subunit ribosomal RNA
Source: RNAcentral
UACGGGGGGGGCAAGCGUUGUCCGGAUUUAUUGGGUUUAAAGGGUGCGUAGGCGGUCUAUUAAGUCAGUGCUGAAAUAUCCCGGCUUAACCGGGAGGGUGGCAUUGAUACUGAUGGACUUGAGUGCAGUCGAGGUAGGCGGAAUUGACGGUGUAGCGGUGAAAUGCUUAGAUAUCGUCAAGAACACCGAUAGUGAAGACAGCUUACUAGACUGUAACUGACGCUGAGGCACGAAAGUGUGGGGAUCAAACAGG